GUGAUCACUUCAGCAGCACAUAUACUAAAAUUGGAACUAUAGAGAGAAGAUUAGCAUGGCCCUUGUGCAAGGCUGACAUACAAAUUCAUGAAGUAUUCCAUAUUCAG
Molecule: small nuclear RNA, 107 nt
Organism: Marmota marmota marmota (Alpine marmot)
Lineage: Eukaryota; Metazoa; Chordata; Mammalia; Rodentia; Sciuridae
Source: Ensembl